Molecule: long non-coding RNA, 413 nt
Filed under: Ananas comosus (pineapple)
Lineage: Eukaryota; Viridiplantae; Streptophyta; Magnoliopsida; Poales; Bromeliaceae
Description: long non-coding RNA (ACOM_LNC010021)
Source: RNAcentral
AUCAUCACUUGAUCCUCCAUUAAUAUGUGAUGUUUUAUUAUUAGGAUUAUAUGGAUAGAUUAUUAGAAUUUUUUUGAUUGUUAGGAUUGUAUGGAUAGAUUAUUAGAAUUUUCAAGUUGUUAAGAUUAUACGUGAUUUGUUGAAAUAUUUAUAUAGUUGUUAGAAUUAUAUAUGGGAUAUGGAAAGAAACAGUAAAUAAGUGAAAAACGAUGAAUGAUUCACCGCUUUUGUGAGAAAUUAGGAACGCGGUGAAUGCGUUCACCGUUUUUAUGAAGGCGAUGAAUCGUUCAUUGUCUUUAAGAGAAAAUUCCAAUGUGGCUGCUAUAUGGUGAAAAGAGGGUUAGUUGUUCUAAAUAUAAUUUUGGCAGUGUUAUUUUGCAAAUACCAAAAUUUUAGAGGGUUAUUUUGUAAAA